GGUGAGAGCAUAUGACAGGCUGUCCUGCUCUGAGUUGUUUUGUUCAUAAAAAAUUAACUGAAUUUUGAAGCCAAGGCUCUGCAAGUAUCUGAUGUCAGGUAUUUUCUGUUGAAACUAAACAUUAAAUUUUAACUUCAACUUUCCAACAAUUGUCAAGGCUAUGGGAAUUGCAAUUUGUGUUUUUGAUAUCGACCACUCCAAAAAUGAAUUUGUUCGCCAAAAAUGUAAGCGUGCGUUUCAAGAUGUCGACCAGGAAAAGAAUAUUAAAAAAGGCGCCUCCCGUUAAACCAACCUCGAGGCGCUUCACAACAACGGAAGGAAACGGACAAGAGAAUAAAAAAACCAUGAACCUAGACUAACAAAGAAAAAAGAAAACGCCUAAACGAACCAAACCAACACCGCACCGUUUAUCGGCAAUUUAAGGCGUAAAAACCCGCCGAUGCAUGACUCACAGGUGCUCAAGUGAUGGCGGUGUCUAGCUAAGCAGUUAAAAGAAGGAAAAAACAAAAUAGUGGUAAAAAGUGUCUUAAAGUUAAAUUCAGCAAAACUUUCAGUGAAGAGGUGAGUUUUGAACGCUUUCAGAAUGUCCGGUGCAGUUAUAGAGAACUACUAGGACAAUUGCAAAGUUACUGUAACAGCAUGGUUAAGAAGAUUGCUGACCUGCAAAACUUAAAGUGCCAGUACAUAAUAAUUAUUACUGUAGUAUUUAGCAGUGUUUGUCAACCUCUUUGAAGCCUCAUUUGGUUCUGGCAUUUUCCAAUUGGUGUCCA
Long non-coding RNA from Anneissia japonica, 770 nucleotides. RefSeq lists it as uncharacterized. The transcript is spliced from 4 exons. The record is from RefSeq and is a predicted model, not a curated record. NCBI's taxonomy places the organism in Eukaryota, Metazoa, Echinodermata, Crinoidea, Comatulida, Comatulidae.